UAGUGAGGAGUGCUGCGUUUGCUCCCUGAGUCUACUCGCCAGCCCACCGUCCUCCGCUGCCACAUCCCGCACACCCGCCCCUCUCCUGUACCAGGAACUUGCUACCACCAGCACCAUGCCCUACCAAUAUCCAGCGCUUACCCCGGAGCAGAAGAAGGAGCUGUCUGACAUCGCUCACCGCCUUGUGGCCCCGGGCAAGGGCAUCCUGGUUGCAGAUGAGUCCACUGGGAGCAUUGCCAAGCGGCUGCAGUCCGUUGGCACCGAGAACACCGAGGAGUUCUUGGUGUCAGCUCAGUCAUCAUUGAGCUGACAGCUGAUGACCGCAUGAACCCCUGCAUCGAGGGCGUCAUCCUCUUCCACGAGACACUCUAACAGAAGGCAGAUGAUGGGUGUCCUUUCCCCCAAGUUAUCAAAUCCAAGGGCGGUGUUGUGGGCAUCAAGGUAGACAAGGUCACCCUGGCAGGGACAAAUGGUGAGAUCACCACCCAAGGGCUGGAUGGGCUGUCUGAGCGCUGUGCCCAGAACAAGAAGGAUGGCGCUGACUUUGCCAAAUGGCGUUGUGUGCUGAAGAUUGGGGAGCACGCCCCCUCAACCAAUGUCCUGGCCCGUUACACCAGCAUCUGCCAGCAGAAUGACUUCGUGCCCAUCGUGGAGCCUGAAAUCCUCCCUGAUGUGGACCAUGACUUGAAGCGCUCAGUGUGUGACCGAGAAGGUGCUGGCUGCUGUCUACAAGGCUCUGAGCGACCACCACAUCUACCUGGAAGGCACCUUGCUGAAGCCCAACAUGGUUACCCCAGGCCACGCCUGCACUCAGAAGUUUUCUCACAAGGAGAUUGCCAUGGCGACUGUCACAGCUGCGCACCGCACAGUUCCUCCCCUCACCCGCACCCCCCGGCUGUCCCUGGGAUCAUCUUCCUUCUGGAGGCCAGAGUGAGGAGGAGGCGUCCAUCAACUUCAACGCCAUUAACAAGUGCCCGCUGCUGAAGCCCUGGGCCCUGACCUUCUCCUACGGCCAAGCCCUGCAGGCCUCUCUCUGUCCUGAAGGUCUGGGGUGGGAAGAAGGAAAGCAAGAAGGCGGCGCAGGAGGAGUACAUCAAGCGCGCCCUGGCCAACAGCCUCGCCUGUCAAGGAAAACACACCCCAAGAGGUCAGGCUGGGGGCUGCUGCCAACGAGUCCCUCUUCAUCUCUAACCAUGCCUACUAAGCGGAAGUGUUCCCAGGCUGCCCCCAACACUCCAGGCCCCGCCCCCUCCCACACUGUCUUGAAGAGGGGGCCUCCUACUCCGGGGCUCCAGUCUGGCUUGCCCACGCUCUUGCCUCCCUUGAGACAGUGAUGUGUGGUGUCGUCUGUGAAUGCUAAUUCCAUCGCCCUUUCCAGCACACUGCUAAUAAACAGCUAUUUAAGGGG
This is a non-coding RNA of Callithrix jacchus (white-tufted-ear marmoset), 1408 nucleotides long. The record is from RefSeq and is a predicted model, not a curated record. NCBI's taxonomy places the organism in Eukaryota, Metazoa, Chordata, Mammalia, Primates, Cebidae.